UCCUUAGUACGAGAGGACCGGGAGGAACGAACCGCUGGUGUACCAGUUAUUCCGCCAGGAGUAGACGCUGGGUAGCCAAGUUCGGAGAGGAUAACCGCUGAAAGCAUCUAAGUGGGAAGCCCACCUUAAGAUGAGUGUUCUCACUACGAGAGUAGGUAAGGUCACGGGGAGAACACCCGUUAAUAGGCUUUAUGUGGAAGUACAGUAAUGUAUGUAGCAGAGAAGUCCUAACAGACCGAGGGCUUGACCUCAG
RNAcentral lists this ribosomal RNA (253 nucleotides) under Cylindrospermopsis raciborskii C03. RNAcentral's name for it is "partial 23S ribosomal RNA". It matches the Rfam family "Bacterial large subunit ribosomal RNA", at positions 2675 to 2925 of the family's 2925-position model. Lineage: Bacteria; Bacillati; Cyanobacteriota; Cyanophyceae; Nostocales; Aphanizomenonaceae. The record is from RNAcentral.